CUGAAGGAGCUGGUGGAGGAGCCGUGCUGAAGGCCCUGCCUGGUGGAGGAGCUGGUGGAGGCCCUGCCUGGUGAAGGACGUCUGUCGUGGGACCAGGACUCUGUCUGAGGAGAGCUGCUGGAGGAGCUGAGACGCUGGAGGACGACUAGGGAUCGACCAACCAGGAUUCCUCAACGUGUUUCUGGAGCGGAGGCGAGCUGGUAGGGGAGCCGUGAAUCUGGAGGAUGACCAUCACUCUACCAACAAGGACUACUUUAGGGCCAGACUCGCGCUGUUUGUUCCAGACCAGGACUCUGGCUGAGGAGAGCUGAUGGAGGAGCCAAGACUCUGGAGGACGACAUCACUCCACCAACCAGGAUCCUC
Gadus macrocephalus (Pacific cod) is the source of this 363-nucleotide long non-coding RNA. RefSeq lists it as uncharacterized. The record is from RefSeq and is a predicted model, not a curated record. Lineage: Eukaryota; Metazoa; Chordata; Actinopteri; Gadiformes; Gadidae. The transcript is spliced from 4 exons.